UGAGCUGCGUGCUACAGCGAGGCUAAGCUAGUGGGGGCAAAGUUUCAGUGCAUUCCGUUGAUGUAGACGGCGUGAAAACGGAAACAAGAAGUAUGCCGGCUCACUGUGCUGCAUACAAUUACACACUGUGUCGUACGAUUGAGACAAGGAAACAUGGAAUGACUUUUCAUAGGUUUCCCAGAGACUAUGGGUUGAGGAGGAAUUGGAAGUUUGUUGGCUUAGACCUGGUGUCAUUCCAUCAGUGUUAAACUUCCCAGCUCAUCCUGGAAGAGUACGUGCCAGAAAGACCACGACCAAGCAGCCUUGAGAUCUUAGGCAGCGUCUCACUGAGACCAAAGAACUACAGACUCUUCACAACCUGCUCAAACUCUUGGUACAGGACCUCAC
Long non-coding RNA from Amphiprion ocellaris (clown anemonefish), 387 nucleotides. The record is from Ensembl. NCBI's taxonomy places the organism in Eukaryota, Metazoa, Chordata, Actinopteri, Pomacentridae.